Molecule: ribosomal RNA, 500 nt
Filed under: uncultured bacterium
Lineage: Bacteria
Description: partial 16S ribosomal RNA
Rfam family: Bacterial small subunit ribosomal RNA
Source: RNAcentral
AUUGAACGCUGGCGGAAUGCUUUACACAUGCAAGUCGAACGGCAGCACGGACUUCGGUCUGGUGGCGAGUGGCGAACGGGUGAGUAGUGUAUCGGAACGUGCCCAGUCGUGGGGGAUAACGUAGUGAAAAUUACGCUAAUACCGCAUACGAUCUAUGGAUGAAAGCGGGGGAUCGCAAGACCUCGCGCGAUUGGAGCGGCCGAUAUCAGAUUAGGUAGUUGGUGGGGUAAAGGCCCACCAAGCCAACGAUCUGUAGCGGGUCUGAGAGGACGACCAGCCACACUGGAACCGAGACACGGUCCAGACUCCUACGGGAGGCAGCAGUGGGGAAUUUUGGACAAUGGGCGAAAGCCUGAUCCAGCCAUUCCGCGUGUAGGAUGAAGGCCCUCGGGUUGUAAACUGCUUUUGUACAGAACGAAAAGGUUUCUACUAAUACUAGGAGCUCAUGACGGUACUGUAAGAAUAAGCACCGGCUAACUACGUGCCAGCAGCCGCCGUAA